AUGUACUGCACACAAUGCAGAUAGUGAUUUCAGCUCUUAUAUAUUUAUAAUAUGAUAUUGAGCUGAAACUGAAAUUUUGAUUUCUUUAAAUCGCAAUAAUAAAUCAGCGGAUAGAAAGAAAUACAGAGAAUCACCCUAUAGGACUACCAAGCCUUUUUUUCAUAGGUUUAAACAAAAAAAGGGUUACGAGAACACCUCACCGGUAUGAGGAAGAUGUGGACAGUUGCACUGAUACUUCUAUCAGUACCGACAUUUCGUACACAAAAUGUGACAACUACUAAUACUACAAGUGACACGACUAUGAGCCCGACGACAACCGCAACAUCUACCACACCUGAAACAACUACAAAUCCCACGACUACUGAAACAACUACUACUCCGACAACUACUGUAACGUCAAACACGAGUGAAACACCUACAACUCCCAUGACUACAGAAACAACUACCACCCCGACAACAACCGCAACGUCGAACACAGCUGAAACAACUACAGCUUCCUCAACGACUGAAACAACAACUACUCCGACGACUACUGUAACGUCAACCACAAGUGAAACACCGACAACUCCCAUGACUACUGAAACAACUACCACCCCGACAACAACCGCAACGUCGAACACAGCUGAAACAACUACAGCUUCCUCAACGACUGA
Long non-coding RNA from Scleropages formosus (Asian bonytongue), 653 nucleotides. RefSeq lists it as uncharacterized. The record is from RefSeq and is a predicted model, not a curated record. The transcript has 3 exons. Lineage: Eukaryota; Metazoa; Chordata; Actinopteri; Osteoglossiformes; Osteoglossidae.